RNAcentral lists this ribosomal RNA (443 nucleotides) under uncultured bacterium. RNAcentral describes it as "SSU rRNA". It matches the Rfam family "Bacterial small subunit ribosomal RNA", at positions 26 to 518 of the family's 1533-position model. The record is from RNAcentral.
AGAACGAACGCUGGCGGCAGGCCUAACACAUGCAAGUCGAGCGCCCAGCAAUGGGAGCGGCGGACGGGUGCGUAACGCGUGGGAAUAUGCCUUUCGGUACGGAACAACUCAGGGAAACUUGAGCUAAUACCGUAUACGCCCUUAGGGGGAAAGAUUUAUCGCCGAAAGAUUAGCCCGCGUAGGAUUAGCUUGUUGGUGAGGUAAUGGCUCACCAAGGCGACGAUCCUUAGCUGGUUUGAGAGAACGACCAGCCACACUGGGACUGAGACACGGCCCAGACUCCUACGGGAGGCAGCAGUGGGGAAUCUUGGACAAUGGGGAAACCCUGAUCCAGCCAUGCCGCGUGAGUGAUGAAGGCCUUCGGGUUGUAAAACUCUUUCGACGGGGACGAUAAUGACGGUACCCGUAGAAGAAGCUCCGGCUAACUUCGCGCCAGCAGCCGC